This 495-nucleotide long non-coding RNA is filed under the name Vigna radiata. Its description in RNAcentral is "long non-coding RNA (VRAD_LNC013761)". Lineage: Eukaryota; Viridiplantae; Streptophyta; Magnoliopsida; Fabales; Fabaceae. The record is from RNAcentral.
UUUAAUUAAUUUAUGUAUUGAUUUUGUUGAAAGAAAAAGGGUGUUUAAUUGAUAAAUAUAUCGAAAAGGUGAUGUUGACCAGGUAGGGGCUAAAAACAUGAGGCAUUCUAUUUGGUUACUUAAUGAAGUAAAUCUCAAUUGUCAUUUUUGUGUGUUUUGAUAGGUUAGGUACAUGUACCCCAUUAACAAUAAGAUAUAUGUCUCACUAUCAACUACUUUUCUUUUUCUUCUCAUACAUUUUCUUAGAUGCAAGUAAACUUCCACAACUUCUUCUACAAUGCAUCAUAUUACAAAAGUAACUAAUCUACCUCAUUCAUCACUUUCCACUUCCUUCUUAACUUCUUUUUUCUCUUGUCUUCUCCUUCACAAUCAUUCAACAUGACACAAGUCACCAAUAAUGUUUCAUUCCCACUUCACAACUGUCGCUGACUUUAGCCACCUCCCCAUAUAUAAUGUGUUUUGACCCCUACCUUGCAAGAAUACAUAGCCACAUUC